RNAcentral lists this ribosomal RNA (735 nucleotides) under Triticum aestivum (bread wheat). RNAcentral's name for it is "partial small subunit ribosomal RNA". Lineage: Eukaryota; Viridiplantae; Streptophyta; Magnoliopsida; Poales; Poaceae. The record is from RNAcentral.
AUGCCUACGCUUAUCGUGCCGUCGGCCGCCACCAGCGCCAAGGCCGCGGGGGUGGGCCGCCGGGUGGUGCUCACCGGCUCCAACGUCGUCGGCAACCUCGCCGCCGUGGUGCUGACGCUCGCGCCGGUGUUCACCUUUGCUCUGCCAAUCUGGAAUGAGAAUGCGGUCGGCGAUAGGACGGUGUAUGGACAUGUCGCCACGCUGUUCACCAGUGUGGCGUGCUUCCUCUACGGCCUACCGUCCUAUCCGGACGGCUUCGUCUCGCUGGCCAUAAACAUAACCUCUGUCGUGUUCCAGCUAGGGUACAUUGCCGUGUUUAUCUGGUUCGCAGCCGGGGUGGCACGCCGCCGUGCUCUGUACCUCCUUGCCACAAUCCUCAUCACGUCUACUAUCAUCACCUCCUUGGCCUUAACCAAGGUGGUCGCCACGAAUUUCGUCCCCAUCGUCGCCAUGGUCACCACCUCCUUCAACUACAUCUCCGUCGGUGUUGAUGUGGUGAAAGUGGCGAGGAACGGGAGAGUGGAAAACUUGGAUCCAAUCGCCCAGAUCCUACUCGGCCUUACAAAUGCUUUCGCCUCGGCCGUGUUCAGCUUUUUCUCGACGCCAAAAAACCUCUACAUUGCUGUACUAACCACUGUGGGAGUUACGGUUAUGCUGGCACAGUUGGCAGUGUACGUGGUCCACUCCAACCAAGAGCCAGAGGCAGAGCCGGAGGCAGAGCCGGUGCAGGCAUAG